GCUCGCUUAGCUCAGUUGGUUAGAGUACCUGCAUGACAUGCAGGGUGUCACUGGUUCGAGUCCAGUAGCGAGCACCA
RNAcentral lists this transfer RNA (77 nucleotides) under Echinimonas agarilytica. RNAcentral's name for it is "tRNA-Val". It matches the Rfam family "tRNA". From Rfam's summary of the family: Transfer RNA (tRNA) molecules are approximately 80 nucleotides in length. Their secondary structure includes four short double-helical elements and three loops (D, anti-codon, and T loops). Lineage: Bacteria; Pseudomonadati; Pseudomonadota; Gammaproteobacteria; Alteromonadales; Echinimonadaceae. The record is from RNAcentral.